AAAAAACUAAAAGGAAAUGAUCAUCUUAAACAUUGAAACUCCAUCUCAUAUAUCAUCUUUAAACCUCAAUUAUCAUAUUAUAUCAUAACAAACGGCAGGUUAAGAAAAAGACAUUAACCCAUCUAAGCCUUGGAAAAGUAUCCAGCCCACUUCUCAAUCCAUGUCCUCAAUAAUGGGCCCAAUGCCACUUCUAGCACCCAUAGAAGGACCAUCCUCAUCUAUUACUCUGCCCAUGUCUCGGCUAGUGCUUGGUACAUCUUGGAUUGGGUUGCAAAUGCUUUCCAAUUCUUUCAUCUUGUCUUUAAAUUCAUCUGCCUCAGCGAGUUGAUUCCCACAAAGCCACUGAAUGGCCGACUCAAUUGCAUCUUCAAUUUUCUUCUUAUCAGCAGCAGAGAGUUUUGCACUGAUCUUCUCAUCUCUAAAUCUCAUGUUGUAAGCAUAGUUCUCCAGUGCGUUCUUGGCCUUGACCUUCUUUCUGUGUUCCUCAUCCUCAUACUUGUAUUUCUCUGCCUCUUGUACCAUCUUCUCAAUCUCCUCUCCGGAAAGCCUGCCCUUGUCAUCAAUGAUAGUAAUCUUGUUCUUCUGUCCAGUUGUUUUAUCCUCCGCAAAGACAUUCAGAAUACCAUUGGCAUCAAUGUCAAAGCAAACAUGGAUUCGUGGAACACCCCUAGGAGCAGGGGGAAUGCCAAAUAAUUCAAAAUUGC
Molecule: unclassified non-coding RNA, 704 nt
Filed under: Hevea brasiliensis (rubber tree)
Lineage: Eukaryota; Viridiplantae; Streptophyta; Magnoliopsida; Malpighiales; Euphorbiaceae
Source: RNAcentral